Molecule: ribosomal RNA, 464 nt
Filed under: uncultured bacterium
Lineage: Bacteria
Description: partial 16S ribosomal RNA
Rfam family: Bacterial small subunit ribosomal RNA
Source: RNAcentral
GACGAACGCUGGCGGCGUGCUUAACACAUGCAAGUCGAACGGAAAGGCCCAGCUUGCUGGGUGCUCGAGUGGCGAACGGGUGAGUAACACGUGGGUGAUCUGCCCCUAACUUCGGGAUAAGCUUGGGAAACUGGGUCUAAUACCGGAUAGGACAAUCGUUUAGUGUCGGUUGUGGAAAGUUUUUUCGGUUAGGGAUGAGCCCGCGGCCUAUCAGCUUGUUGGUGGGGUAAUGGCCUACCAAGGCGUCGGCGGGUAGCCGGCCUGAGAGGGUGGACGGCCACAUUGGGGCUGAGAUACGGCCCAGACUCCUACGGGAGGCAGCAGUGGGGAAUAUUGCACAAUGGGCGCAAGCCUGAUGCAGCGACGCCGCGUGGGGGAUGACGGCCUUCGGGUUGUAAACCUCUUUCGACAGGGACGAAGCUUUGGUGACGGUACCUGGAGAAGAAGCACCGGCUAACUACGUG